CACAAGAGCUCUCCUCCCUUGGCCCUUUGCUAAUUAUUCUUGUUAAUUAUUUUUUAAUUACAUUUCUAUCACUGUUUCUAGAACAGCUACCAUCAUUUCCACUUCAGAGGCUCCAGACGCCACACACCCUAAAACAUAGAAACGAUGGUGGCUGCCUAGUGAAUGCUUUCAAAGGAAACAGAGGGGAAUCCAACCCACCAUGGCUCCUACUGCAUCAGUGCCACUGCUGAGAGCAGGGACAAAGGGGACCAGGACACGGGGACCAGGACAUGGGAGUGGGACACAGGACCGGGACACGGGGACUGUCCUUUCUCGCUCCAUUACAGCAGGGGGUAAGUUGAAAGCAGGACACCUGGGGUCC
Molecule: long non-coding RNA, 361 nt
Filed under: Fukomys damarensis (Damara mole-rat)
Lineage: Eukaryota; Metazoa; Chordata; Mammalia; Rodentia; Bathyergidae
Description: lncRNA (ENSFDAG00000024412.1)
Source: RNAcentral